RNAcentral lists this RNase P RNA (402 nucleotides) under human gut metagenome. RNAcentral's name for it is "Bacterial RNase P class A". It matches the Rfam family "Bacterial RNase P class A". Rfam says of the family: Ribonuclease P (RNase P) is a ubiquitous endoribonuclease, found in archaea, bacteria and eukarya as well as chloroplasts and mitochondria. The record is from RNAcentral.
AGCAGGCUGGACAGCCGCGCGCGAAGGCCCAACGGCCCAGCGUGAGGAAAGUCCGGGCUCCAUAGGGCAAGGAUAACGGGUAACACCCGCCGAAGGCGACUUCAGGACAAGUGCAACAGAAAUAUACCGCCGGCUGUUGGCCAUCGCUAUGUCACUUUUUUUGAUGCCAUCGCGCAUCGCUGGUAGCGCAUCUGGUCCGGUCCGGUAAGGGUGGAAAGGCGAGGUAAGAGCUCACCGGCUGACUGGGAACAGCUCAGCCCUGUAAACUCUAUCCGGGAGCAAUACCGUGGAGGAAACAUGUGGCCGGCCCGGCCGUUUUCGAGGAGGUAGCUAGAGCCUGGCGGCAACGUCAGGUCGAGAUAGAUGGCUGUCAAAACAGAACCCGGCUUAUAGGCCUACUUG